RNAcentral lists this ribosomal RNA (253 nucleotides) under uncultured prokaryote. RNAcentral's name for it is "partial 16S ribosomal RNA". It matches the Rfam family "Bacterial small subunit ribosomal RNA", at positions 524 to 776 of the family's 1533-position model. The record is from RNAcentral.
GACAGAGGUUGCAAACGUUGUUCGGAAUUACUGGGCAUAAAGCGCACGUAGGUGGUCCGCUAAGUCGGAUGUGAAAUUCCUCGGCUCAACCGGGGAACGGCAAUCGAUACUGGCGGGCUUGAGGUCCGGAGGGGUGAGUGGAACUCCUGGUGGAGCGGUGAAAUGCGUAGAUAUCAGGAGGAACACCAGUGGCGAAAGCGGCUCACUGGCCGGAAUCUGACACUGAGGUGCGAAAGCUAGGGUAGCAAACGGG